Molecule: long non-coding RNA, 1032 nt
Organism: Dioscorea cayenensis subsp. rotundata (Guinea yam)
Lineage: Eukaryota; Viridiplantae; Streptophyta; Magnoliopsida; Dioscoreales; Dioscoreaceae
Exons: 2
Source: RefSeq, a predicted model, not a curated record
UCCUUGUUUACCAGAUAAUGGAUGGCCUGAUGGAGGUGACACUGAUAUCUUCAAACUUGAGGAUGUUGCAGGUCCAAAUAAUUGGCCUGACCUCUUGCUGGAGGAAGUUGACUCACCAAAGUUAGACCUGGAGCUCUGCAAUAGUGAUAUUUAUGGAACCAAACCUGAUUCAAAAAUGUAGCAAGAUGCCAUAUUUGCAAUGCCAACUUGCUCUCUUCUAUUGCUAUCUAGUAGGUAAUUAUUUGAUGUUGUUUCAUGGAGAUCUUGUUUAUUAAUUUUUCUUAUUUAUUUCAGGCAAAAAUUUCUUUAGAAGAGCCUGCACUCUAUAGCCUUUUAUAUAAAUCUGACAAACUUUGGCAAUUUCCUGCUGAUUGCAACUCUGUAUUUUGUUGGGUCCUUGUACUGCCAUAAUGCAAGCCUACUUUGCCAAGAUGUGACUGAUAGUGGAAAACUUAGAGUUAGAUUUGGACUUUAUUUCAUAUGUUAACUAAUAUUAAACAGGAAAAUACUUUUGUGUUUGUCAAAGAAGAGUUCUAAACUUGGAACAACACUGAAGGGAGGAGCUAGCGGCUAGCGUGGUUAUCUACCCGAUGCCUCAGGAAUCAAAAUUAUAUUGUAUGCAGGUUGUGCUCCUCUCUUCAUCGAGAGGUUGUUUCUCAUUGGGUUCAUGCAAGGAAAUGCUUGAAGCAAUACCACAAAAUAGGAUGUUUCGUGAAAAUGAUGCAAGAGAAGGUAUGAUUGAAUAAAGGACGGCACAGCACAUGCCUCAAACCUCAGGCAAGCCAUUUUAUUUACUUCAGAUUGAUCUGUUAAUAAUUUUGACUCCAUAAUUCUUAAUUUUUAACACAUUCUUGUGUUUUCAGAUUGCUUGUUUAGGCUUUAGAAUUGAUCCUUGAAUAUCCUGUUGAAUAUCCUACUGAAAAACUCCAAUGAAGAUUCACGUCUGUAUGGAAACAAGGAUGCAAAUUAUGUAUUUUUGUUUUUAUAAUGCAAUAUAGAGCCAACCCAUGCUUAAGCUUGGUUUGAGAUUAA